RNAcentral lists this ribosomal RNA (253 nucleotides) under uncultured bacterium. Its description in RNAcentral is "partial 16S ribosomal RNA". It matches the Rfam family "Bacterial small subunit ribosomal RNA", at positions 524 to 776 of the family's 1533-position model. The record is from RNAcentral.
UACGUAGGUGGCAAGCGUUAUCCGGAAUUAUUGGGCGUAAAGCGCGCGUAGGCGGUUUUUUAAGGCUGAUGUGAAAGCCCACGGCUCAACCGUGGAGGGUCAUUGGAAACUGGAAAACUUGAGUGCAGAAGAGGAAAGUGGAAUUCCAUGUGUAGCGGUGAAAUGCGCAGAGAUAUGGAGGAACACCAGUGGCGAAGGCGACUUUCUGGGCUGUAACUGACGCUGAUGUGCGAAAGCGUGGGGAUCAAACAGG